GCAUUAAUGGGGUAGUGGUAACCUGGGUCGUUGCCAUUCGAGUAAUUAAGCUCGACCCGCCGGGGGUUCGAUUCCCUCUUAAUGCA
Hebeloma cylindrosporum is the source of this 86-nucleotide transfer RNA. It matches the Rfam family "tRNA". Rfam says of the family: Transfer RNA (tRNA) molecules are approximately 80 nucleotides in length. Their secondary structure includes four short double-helical elements and three loops (D, anti-codon, and T loops). Further hydrogen bonds mediate the characteristic L-shaped molecular structure. tRNAs have two regions of fundamental functional importance: the anti-codon, which is responsible for specific mRNA codon recognition, and the 3' end, to which the tRNAs corresponding amino acid is attached (by aminoacyl-tRNA synthetases). tRNAs cope with the degeneracy of the genetic code in two manners: having more than one tRNA (with a specific anti-codon) for a particular amino acid; and 'wobble' base-pairing, i.e. permitting non-standard base-pairing at the 3rd anti-codon position. The record is from Rfam. NCBI's taxonomy places the organism in Eukaryota, Fungi, Basidiomycota, Agaricomycetes, Agaricales, Hymenogastraceae.